Cyprinus carpio (common carp) is the source of this 1085-nucleotide long non-coding RNA. The record is from Ensembl. NCBI's taxonomy places the organism in Eukaryota, Metazoa, Chordata, Actinopteri, Cypriniformes, Cyprinidae.
AUUAUCAUUUUAAUAGUAACAUCAGUAUGGCAGGAACAUGUCAUUAGUCUUAAGAGCAAAGUACGAAUCGGGUUUUAUUUCUUCCAUCUUAAGCAAGGCGACAUCACUCCGUUUGCAUUCAGACGGUGAUUACAUGUCUAAUGAAAACUAUCUCAGUUGAAUUUCCAAAGUAAAUGCAAUUUAAAUAUCUAUUUAUCUGUCUUUGAGAGUGGCUUUGAGCUAUUAGUUCAUGUGAACAGGUCUGGCCUGUUAAUUUUCUGCCUCUCCUUGAGCUCAGACGCAGUCGGGGAGGGACAACGUUCCCCCAACGCCACCCUCAAACUCAGCAGUGGAGAUGAAUAAUGCAGUCAGACCAACCCCCGUCACACACACACACACACACACACACGGGUGGCAGGGCCUGGAGCGCCGCAGGUUCAAGUGUAUGCACUUGAGGGGCACCGCCAGUAUCAGCGCACAAUUAUCUGGGUCCCGGGGUCUCUUCCUGAUUGGACUGGACUUUACGGCUGCUGGGACUUUUGCUUAAAACUCUUAACAAACAGAGCUGCCUGGCUCAGGGCUGGCCCCCAGCUGGACGCUCUAGACUGGUCCUCGGGGACACAGAAGGACUCUGUUCGAAUCCGUAUCGAUCCGUGAUGCUGAUGAAAGAACCCACUGGUCACCUUGAGCCCUGUGUAUCCCGCGGCAACACUGCAGCCCACCCGUGUCACUUUAGUCAGACCAUGAGGCUCCGGGGCACGAGAGGUGUGUGUGUGUGUGUGUGUGUGUGUGUGUGUAAGAGUGAGAGAGAGAGGCAGAGGUGAGGUGGUCUGUGAGGAAUAAUGAUACAUUGCAUUUCAUAAAAAAAAAAAAAAAACUUGUGAAUAUAUACAUUGGAUCUAAAUUUGUGUUGUUGUUGUUUUUAUUAUUAUAAUGUUUAAAGCCUGUAUAACAUCUGCAACUGAAUCAAUUCACUUUAUGAAUUAACUAGUAAGUGAACUGAUGUGGUCACACUUGAGUUUGGGGACCAAUUCUCACUUUUACCUAACUAUUAGCUAUUACGUUUGCCUCAAUAAACUCCUAAUUUCCUUAUAUUAUUAAUAGCA